UACAGAGACUGCAGGCGUUAUUCGGAUUCACUGGGCGUAAAGGGUGCGCAGGCGGCCGAGUGUGUGAGGCGUGAAAGCCCGGGGCUUAACCCCGGAAUUGCACCUCAAACUACACGGCUAGAGCAUUGGAGAGGGUAGCAGAAUUCAUGGUGUAGCAGUGAAAUGCGUAGAUAUCAUGAGGAAUACCAGAGGCGAAGGCGGCUACCUGGACAAUUGCUGACGCUCAGGCACGAAAGCGUGGGGAGCAAAAGGG
RNAcentral lists this ribosomal RNA (253 nucleotides) under uncultured bacterium. RNAcentral's name for it is "partial 16S ribosomal RNA". It matches the Rfam family "Bacterial small subunit ribosomal RNA", at positions 524 to 776 of the family's 1533-position model. The record is from RNAcentral.